CCAAACAACUCUCCUCUCUCCCUCUAGAAAGCUCACGGCCAAACAUCCCUAAUCACCCAUCAAUUUUUCGAGCCUUGUUCAAGCCAUUCCAAGCAUACCCAAGCAUCAAGGAUCACGUAUUAGGAGGCUUGGUGCACUCGGAGCACGAAGGACCUUUUUCUCUAGCUUUUAUCCACCACAUUCGCGUCUAGAUUCUUCCCUAGCCUCGAGCUAGUGCUCACAUGAUGUGUUACGACGUUAAAUAAGCAAACCCGGUGAAGUUUACGACGCACAGGAACGCAAAGUUGUAACUAGGAUGGAUGUGCGCGUGGUCUCUCUUAUGCUCGUGGAUGUCGCUUGUGUUUGUCUUUAAAUAAAGUGUAAACCUUUUAAGACAAUGUUUUAUGUUAACUCGCGUUGUAAACGCUAACUUAUGAUUUCAAGUUAUGGUAUUUGAAGUUAUUUUC
RNAcentral lists this long non-coding RNA (446 nucleotides) under Helianthus annuus (common sunflower). RNAcentral's name for it is "sRNA HanXRQr2_Chr16g0745271". The record is from RNAcentral. Lineage: Eukaryota; Viridiplantae; Streptophyta; Magnoliopsida; Asterales; Asteraceae.